Unclassified non-coding RNA from Macaca mulatta (Rhesus monkey), 148 nucleotides. It matches the Rfam family "Metazoan signal recognition particle RNA". Rfam says of the family: The signal recognition particle (SRP) is a universally conserved ribonucleoprotein. NCBI's taxonomy places the organism in Eukaryota, Metazoa, Chordata, Mammalia, Primates, Cercopithecidae. The record is from Ensembl.
GCCGGGCAUGGUGGCGCAUGCCUGUAAUCCCAGCUACUCGGGAGGCUGAGGCACAAGAAUUGUUUGAACCCGGGAGGCAGAGGUUGUGGUGAGCUGAGAUCUCACCACAACACUCUAGCCUGGGUGACACAGCGAGACCCUGUCUUAA